Molecule: ribosomal RNA, 374 nt
Filed under: uncultured eukaryote
Lineage: Eukaryota
Description: partial 18S ribosomal RNA
Rfam family: Eukaryotic small subunit ribosomal RNA
Source: RNAcentral
CAAGAGCGUAUGUAAAAGUUGUUGCAGUUAAAAAGCUCGUAGUUGAACCUUGGGUUUGGUUGGCCGGUCCGCUUUUUUGCGAGUACUGGAUUCAACCGAGCCUUUCCUUCUGGCUAACCAGUCGUUUCGGCGGCUGGCGAACCAGGAUUUUUACUUUGAGAAAAUUAGAGGGUUCAAAGCAGGCAUUAGCUUGAAUAUAUUAGCAUGGAAUAAUAGAAUAGGACGUUAUGGUUCUAUUUUGUUGGUUUCUAGGACCAUCGUAAUGAUUAAUAGGGACGGUCGGGGGCAUCAGUAUUCAGUUGUCAGAGGUGAAAUUCUUGGAUUUACUGAAGACUAACUACUGCGAAAGCAUUUGCCAAGGACGUUUUCAUUAA